GUAAGUAGAGUUAAAGGAUUGUAGAUAA
This 28-nucleotide non-coding RNA is filed under the name Cricetulus griseus (Chinese hamster). Lineage: Eukaryota; Metazoa; Chordata; Mammalia; Rodentia; Cricetidae. The record is from RNAcentral.